This 120-nucleotide small nuclear RNA is filed under the name Felis catus (domestic cat). RNAcentral's name for it is "U4 spliceosomal RNA". It matches the Rfam family "U4 spliceosomal RNA". Rfam says of the family: U4 small nuclear RNA (U4 snRNA) is a component of the major U2-dependent spliceosome. The structure of U4 snRNA from yeast and human has been reported. U4 snRNA presents a k-turn RNA motif in the 5p-SL related to recognition of Snu13 protein. Lineage: Eukaryota; Metazoa; Chordata; Mammalia; Carnivora; Felidae. The record is from Rfam by way of RNAcentral.
AGCUUUGUACAGUGGCAGUAUCAUAGUUAAUGAGGUUUAUCUGAGGCGUAAUUAUUGCUAAUUAAAAUUUCCACGAACCAAAUUGGCCAAACCUAGAAUAUUUUGUGUAGGGGAAGCUCC